CUUAUUGUUUCUAGUUCUUUUAUCAACUUGUGAUUUAUAUUAGUACGUUCUGAAGCUGAAUAUGUGGAUAGAAUGAGUGUGAAUAAAGAAAAUACAACUCUAUAUUUCAUUUACAUACAAUUCUGAUUAUACUCUGCUCGUGGUUCAAUCUCCCCCCUCGGAAUCUUGAAUUCUGGAAAAUACAUGAGAGGAAGCGAGCCACUAAAAUCCGCAUCCCAGCCUCAUCAUAUUCCAGCAUUCCAACCUCAUCAUAUUCCAGCAUUCCAACCUCGUUAUAUUCCAGCAUUCCAACCUCGUUAUAUUCCAGCAUUCCAACCUCAUAAUAUUCCAGCAUCCUGCAGCCUCAUCAUAUUCCAGCAUUCCAACCUCGUUAUAUUCCAGCAUUCCAGCCUCAUCAUAUUCCAGCAUUCCAACCUUGUUAUAUUCCAGCAUUCCAGCCUCAUAAUAUUCCAGCAUCCUGCAGCCUCAUUAUAUUCCAGCAUUCCAACCUCGUUAUAUUCCAGCAUCCCAGCAUCAUCAUAUUCCAGCAUUCCAACCUCGUUAUAUUCAGCAUCCCAGACUCAUCAUUUUCCAGCAUUCCAACCUCGUUAUAUUCCAGCAUCCCAGUCUCAAUUUCAAGCUCAAGACUGGGUACAAAUUUACCAGAUUAAGUUCUGCGUCGAAGCAUUUUUCGACGUGUCUUCUUUAUAAACAAAAAAAUUGAUAAUUUACCAUAGACAUAAAA
Molecule: long non-coding RNA, 724 nt
Organism: Eurytemora carolleeae
Lineage: Eukaryota; Metazoa; Arthropoda; Copepoda; Calanoida; Temoridae
Exons: 2
Source: RefSeq, a predicted model, not a curated record